Dromaius novaehollandiae (emu) is the source of this 13001-nucleotide long non-coding RNA. RefSeq lists it as uncharacterized. The record is from RefSeq and is a predicted model, not a curated record. The transcript has 2 exons. NCBI's taxonomy places the organism in Eukaryota, Metazoa, Chordata, Aves, Casuariiformes, Dromaiidae.
GGACUUGCCGGCACCGAAUCGGCCGCCGCUGCCCGCCAUGGGAGCCGGGGGGGCGCCGCGCCGAGCGCCGGGAGGGGGCAGGGAGGAGGGGGCCUGGCAGCGCGCCCCGCCCCCCACACAAAGCCGGCGGGGGGAGGGGGCUGCGGGGUCGCUACACACUCACACACGCACACUCACACACACUCGCACACUCACACACUUAUAUCCACUCACACUGACACACACACGCGCGGCCGUCUCGCCACCGUGCCCAGCCCGACCCCCUGGCCCGGCCCCCGCACGCUCCCCUCAGGCGGCGGCCCCGCGAGGCGCCCGGCCGCCGGCCGUUGCCCGCCGGCCGUUACGCGCCGCCGUUGCCGCCCGCCCCGCGCGCGCCCCGCGCUGCCCCGCUGGGCCGUGUCAGUCAGACGCGGGCGCUCUCUGAGAGCCGUCUCUGUCGUGCCAAGAUGGCAGAGUGAUUAGAGACAUGGCGCACAUUUUCCCCCUGUGGCACUGAAAAUAGGAAGAAAUUGGGAUUUUGCAUAGUCUUAGCUGUUAGAAAGAGUGGUGAGCACUAGAAGGUGAGACAGACCUCCAGCUGAAAAAUCCUAGACCACAUCUGCAGUGGUAAGGUCACCACUAUUGUGAAACAAAGGUACUCUCACUUGCCUCACAGCCCAGAAGAAUAAGGCAAAAGUUGGAAAAACAGAACUGAUGAUACUUUUUAGCAGAACAACAGGACCUCAUAGGGACCCCUGAGGAGUCUUUGCCAGCAGCAAGAGAGCUGCAGGAGUCAAACCGCAGAGAAGGGAUGUGCCAUGGACUUGAUCCGCACUUCCGACGAGUUCUGCAUGCCCCAGGAAUGCAAGGUCUGGCCUCAGACUCACCAGCAGUAACCAUAACAAGACCCCCAAAUCUUUUUUUUUUUUUUUUUUUUUUUUGCCUGUAACAUUUUAAAACACAGUGAAUUCUAAAACUUUUGAAACUAACUUCUGACUACACAGGUAACCUCCAAAGUAUGGUGCUUGAAAGGGAGGUUUCCCUGCUGUGCUCCCCACCACCAGCAACCUCAUCUUCAUUUUCUGUUCACAGUGUUCUAUUACAGAUGAAUCAGUAUGGUUGAACUCCUAUCAAGUACAACAGAUAUGCCCUGAAUCUCAAUAUAAGCUCUCAUAUAGUAGGGAUAAGACAGACAGCACAAGGGGAAGUUGCUUAUAAACAGACUCAUGUAGCAUCAGAGCUUUUUGAAACCUUUUGCUUUAAAAAAGGAAGCCAACCUCAGAAAACUACUCUACUUUGAAACACCACCACCUUUCUGAUACAUGAAGUCGUCCUAAUGAAGAAGACAAAAUUAAUUCUUUUAUCAGGGACCUGUCACUGGUUUCUCCAAAAAACUGAUAACGCAGUUUUAAUGAAAACCUUAGAACUUUUCCCAAAUACAGUAAUCAUUUAAAACAGUUAUGCCUAAAAUGGAGACAUGUAUAUAUAUAUACAUGAACAGAUAUUAUAGUGUAAAUUUCAGUAACCUUUCCUAAUACACCUUUGCCUUGAAUGGUUAUUCUGUUUAGUGAAACUUUUGAAAAUACCUAAUAGAAUACUUCUCAACACUUUCUAUGCAUAUUAUAACAAAGCAGUGUUUCUCUGAACAAAUUGCACUAACUGAGUUAAUAAUCCAACAAAAAGAUUAAUCUUGAACUCCCAGCAUAGACAAAGCUUCCUCUAAUAUUAGAGGAGAGUUUGGAGAGUAUAACUGCAAGCCCAAAUAGAGCAAAGGGUCUUCAGCAGGUCACAGUGAGCAGACAAAAAUGAAUGUCUUUUAGGAUCAAAUCUGUCAUUCCUUCCAGUUUUCCUGACUAACAAUUGAAGGUUUGGUCGUAAACCGAGCACCUCUCGCACGUCUUGCUACUGAUUCUGAAUCCUGAUCCUCAGUUCAUGAUCACCAAACAGUGGCUUUCAACUUCUUUUUCUACUUGCAGACUCCAGAGACCUUUCAAAUGGAGUUUACACCUCCUGACAGUAGACUCAGUUUUCUCAGCUACUUCUGGCAAGCUCCUUAAAAACAGCCUACAGUCCCCCAGUACCCCAUCAGUCGCAGGCUGAAAACCAUGGUCUUAGAGCAUAUCCUGUUUUCUUGGCAUUUAGGAUAGACUCUUGAUGGAUCUGGAAGUUCUACCUCUGUCCCCUAAUAAUAAGGUCUCUUCAUGUGACAGCAGAUUAUCUCUGCAAUUGUCAUGACUCCUAACUUUUUAGAACUGUUAUUAUUACCGUUUACAUAUUAUUUCAUGUUAUUAUAAUAUAUAUUCUUGUGAAAUUGUUAGCGAUACCGUAUGGAAGCCCAUCAACUGUCAACACAGAAGUUAAUGUAUUUAGAAUGCUCAGGCAUUAUCUGACACACAUCUUAGAUACUGAAAUAAAUUCUGGAAACCAUUUAAUUGUUCCAUUUGUUACUUGGGAGGCAAAGAUUAGCAAAAAGGAAUGCUUUCAGAUUUUUAAUGGCAGCUCAUGAACUCAUAAGGGGAGACAGAAUAUCAGAAUCUAUGGAAGCCAUAAAUUUGUGAGUCACAUAAUGGCAUUGAUCUGAACAUCUCCAUCAAGUUAGGAGAAAAUAAAUCUGGUAUUGACAUUACAGAGACCUUAACAUUAAACACAUUUACUGAAAUGUGGCAGCACAUAUUUCCUGUGUGAAAACCUGUGUUUUUGGUAAAGAAACCUGGUUCAGCAUUGCUCAACAUGGAUUCUGCAAGCAGGUGAAUAACUCUGGCAGACUGGAUCAAUAGGAUUAUUCACAUUUGUUUUACCAAGACAGAAAUACAGGGUCCAUGAUAUCAACUAGCAACUACCAGCCAAAGAUGAAAUCCUGAUCCUACUGAAAUCAGUGAGGAUUUUGCCCCUAAGUUUAAUGACGCCAAAUCCCAUGGGAAAUUUGCAAGAGGAUUUUAAAUCAGUCUAUUAUAUAGUGUGGAUUGGAAAACAAGAAUCCCAAUUCUUAAAAUGCAGGGUAUUCAAAAUACAUCUCCAUUCUGAUUCAAAGCAAAAGUAAUAUUUUUCAAUGUGAGAAAAAAAAGAGGUUCAUACUCCCUACCAUAACGCAUUUGGAAGGGAAGCAGAAACUUCUUACGGGCUUCCAUGAUCGGUACCCUAAUCACAAUGCAGUAGAGUAAGUUUCUCACUGUCUUGCUUGCUGAAGGGUUUGGGUUUUUUUGGUUAGAUAUCUAGCUCUUUUCAAAGCUGGGAAGAGAAAAAACGUGAUUCUGUCUUUGGUGGUAACUAAGUCACCUGCAAGGCCCAGGCUUAGGUCCCUGCUGCAUCUGAGUCACAGGAAGAACCUGGAUUUUUUCUUCCAUUCCCUAAAUGCACAAGGCGAUUUGCUAAGCUCAGUACUUUUGUUCUAUCCAGUCUUUGCAUUUCCAGCUUUAAAUUUGUACUUAAAUUUUUGCAAGCACAGUAAUUUGGACUUCUGAAAAACAAAUAUUAUGCAUAAAAUGAUAGGUGCAAAUGAGUUGCCUAAAGUAAAUUGGUUUAAUUUAUACUCUAUUAUUCAUAUUCCUAUUUAUUAGUUUUGAUGUGUUUUAAAAGGGUACCUAUCCAUUUACUGGAGUUGAUUUUUAGAUAACAUAAAAGCAACACAUCUCUAUAAGUUCUUCAAUUUGGUCUUUAUUAAUGUGUAAGUCUCUUUAAUAUUAUUAUUGAGGUAUUUCUUCUCAUUAUUGUCUGCCACAGAGGAUGAGAUAAACAAGCAGGCCUGAUUUUCCAGUUGGUAAAUAUGUAAGCCGCAUGACAGCUUAAAAGAGAAAGGCAACAACAUCAAACAAAUGGCACAAAUGGCAGUCUCUGGGCAAACUAGAAAUGAUAUGAUAUUUUGCUAAGGCACUGUUGUAAACCUGGGAAAAUCAGAGUAAUUACUGUAGCAGUUCCACUACCACAUAAAAAGACCGAGUGUAAGGAGUGGAGUACAGCUUCCUGCCUGCUAAUGGCAGACCAAGUUCCCCCAUCUCUCCGUAGCUUGAGUGAACAGCACUCCCCAACGGAUUGCUUUCUGCCUUGGCUGGUGCAGUGAGAGCUCCCCCUCCUGUUUCUGUCUUUUUAAACACUGUAGAAAAUGCACCAUGGAACCUCGUAUGUAUAACUGUAUGUGAGGAAAUGUGUGUGUGCGUGUGUGUUUAUAUAUAUAUAAAUAUACAAACACACAUAGAGACACACUAGGGAGAAAGCAGAAGGAAAAAAGGAAGAGCUGCUGUAUUUUUCCAAGUAAUAGCCCCAGACUUUGCACUCCAAAAUGAACAUGUGGUUCUUACUAUUUUUUCACUUAAAAUUGCUGUUAAUUUACCUUAUUGUUCCUUACUUGCCAAGAAGUUUUCAGCUCUCCAUCAGGUCACCUAGUAAUGCCAAUCAUUGUAGAAAACAAAUGUCUAUGCAAUCUUUUGUAAGCUAAUAUAUUCUCAGUUCACCUGUAUUUCAGGUGAAGCCAUAAUAAAUAGCAAUUUAAACUCAAGUAUUCUGUUUGCAAAGCAAAGAAAUUCAUUAUAUGUAUUCAUAGAAAAGUACUGUUUUGUUGGGGGUUUUUUCGUUCAAUUUGAAGUGGAAAUGUUUUCAGUUCUUUUGACUUUUUUGUAAGACAUGCUAAGGUGAUAGAUUAUUUAUGCCAUUAGAAGCAAAUAAAUGCACUAAUUAAUUAAAAUAUCUUUUAAUCUUGGAUCCUAAUCCAAUCUUAAUCUAACUGGAUCUUUUAAUCCAAUCUUUUUUUUUAAUACAGUCAGCCAUCUUCAUACACAUGGAAAACAUGCGUGUGAACUUCAGUUCCAUCAAAUCCCUACUUCCACUUCAGUAGUGUUAUUUCACCCAUACCUUUUAGAGCUAGUACAUUCCAUUCAUUCUUGUAAUUGGAUGAAUGCCCAUAGCAUUAGUAACACAGUAGAGUCUGUAGAUUCCUUUCUGCUGUGGAUACUAAUCUCAAUCCAGAGUUUCCUUAGACGAUUAGAGGCUGUUCUGCAAAAUGUCAAAAUGUAGCCUCUCCAAAGCAGACACAGUAAGGCAGUUGAAGUGAGAGUAGUGGCGGCUUUCCAAAUAUGAAGGUCUGGAAAUGUUUGGAGGUAUUUUAAUAUUAAUGAACAUUUCAGUUUUUGUGUUGCUUUAGAGUAUCAGUGUCGAAUCUGUGCAGAUUAAUGGCAAGAUAAAGUCCUAACACUGUUAAUGUUUUUUAAAGCUUUGGCAAAUGUAGAGAAACAUUAUUUAACUUAUUAUAAUUAAUGAUUGCUCUUCUUGCCUGAAACUUCAUGUAAUUUGAUAAACGGAAAGAACUGUUAACUUGUUUCUCUGGUGCUUUGUUAAAUACUUCUGAGUGUUCUACUAAAAUGCCUUUUUUGUUUGUUUAAUUUCUAAUGUUUCCUACAGCAAAAGUAUACAAGAAGUCUUUUCCUUCUUCAGUAUCAGAGAAAACCAAUGUCAUUAAAAGCCAGUUGAGAUUAAACCUUUAAAAAGGUAUCAGCAAUGCAUGUAAAACCAAAUUAGUAAAAGCUACCCUGGCCACCAAUAUUGACUUUGGGGAAAAAACUCUACCAUCUGUCUACUGCUGCAUCCUAUCUGCUGUGGUUACUCAGUAACUCUGAAUGCAAUGCCAAAGAUCAGGUGUAGCAAUAGGAAGGAUCUGUGGCUGAGCAAGAAACUUAAACACAUCAUACUAGACUUGAACUUGGAUGUUCUACACAUCCGCAACCUCCAGACUUCGUUAGUGCUAAGGACUGUACCUCAGAAUGAAACUUGUGAAUCUUUUUAAAAAGCUUAAUUUGGUUCAAAACAGUGGUCUGCUUGCUCAAUAAUACAUGUUGUUAAGAGUAUAUACCAAAGCCCUCCUCUCCUGAGGGUUUCUUAUUUCCUAGUAGUUGAAACCCAAAAUUUUGACAUGUAUUUUAAAAGGCCACUUUGGGGUAAGUCUAAGGUACUUCAGAGACCCUCCUACUUCUUAUCUUUCCAUCUCCUGUUUCUUUCAUACCUUGAAACCAGAGAACUGUCAAACUCAGAAGUGGUGAGGGGUGAAGACCUACUCUCUCUGCAGCUGGCCCACAGCUGUAAAGCUUCCUCUUCGGUGAACUGAGAAUAUUUGCAGCCAAGUCAAACUCGGCCCUUCACCUGUUAUUUCUCAACAACAACAUAUUCCACCCCUUCCCAUUCUUUCCCUUCUCCAUGCAAACGCAGCAAGACAGAGAAGUCUUCUUGUUUUCAUUUUAAUGUAUGGGUGAGUCUCCCAGAUGCUACUAUGAUUUACGUACCUCAAGAAGUUAAGCAGGCAGGCAGACAAUGCAGAAAAGAUGUGCGGGACAGAGAAAGGAGGAGGAGAAGGGGAGAGGUUGCGUGGGUUUGGGAUAUAGCAGAGAGUUCUCCCUUCCUUUUAAUUUGAUUCUUUUUUUUAAUAGAUCAAUCGUGCUGAUACACUCCUUAAAACAUUAUUACAGUGAUCUACAUCAAGUUCUUCUUAAAAGGAACCCCUCCUCUCUUUGUCCUUCUGUGAUGAAUAAAAGAAAUCUUUACAAUAAAGAAAGUGUUUUAUACAUUUUCUAAUAAUCCUGUAUUUCCCCAGUGAGCUUUGUUGCAUGAUAUAGUAUGUCAGUUUAAGUAACAUCUGUCAAGGGAUGGAAAACAAUUAUAGGUUCUUUUCAUUCAUAAAAGUCAUUCUGGAGUUUUUUAUGCUUAAUUUUCUUGUCAGGCUUUCAAAAACAUUACAUCAUUUUGUCCAAAUUAUCCCCUGCAUUGCAUAUACAAGAUACAGUAGGUUAUUCAUUUCUUUCCUGGACCUAAAGAAACAUGCCAAGAUAUUUAAAGUGGCAUAUGCUAAAUGAUUUAGACCUCGGUAAAGCUGGGCUUUGACAUAUCAUUAUCUGACAAUUACUCGUCUACAGCAAUGCUUGCUUUCCUGGUAGCAUCUCACCAGAAUCUUACACGACAUGUGAUUCAAUCUCUUGAUCUUCUCAGUUAUAUUUACAUGAAUUUUACACAUCCUAAUAUAUAAUGGCAAUGCAUUCACAUCAUCGUGUCUAAAAGUCUUUCAAAAAAAAACCCAAACAUACCUUGGGAAUACAUAACAGAAAUAUCUUCAGGACUAGGAUGUAUCAUGUAUUUCCAGUGUAGGAAAACAGUCUUUAUUCACAGAAUCAUUGAGGUUGGAAGGGACCUCUGGAGAUCAUCUAGUCAACCCCCCCUGCCCCAAGCACAGUCAAAUAGAGCAGGUUGCUCAGGGCUGUGUCCAGUUGGGUUUGACUGUGUCCAAGGAUGGAAACUCCACAACCUCUCAGGGCAACCUGUCCCUCUAUAGUUAAAAAGUUACUUCUUAUGUUUAAAUGGAAUUUCCUGUAUUUUAAUUUGUACCAAUUGCCUGUCCUGUCACUGGGCACCACUGAGAAGUGUCUGAAUCCGUCUUCUUUACUCACCUCACAGGCGUUUGUUCACAUUGAUCAGAUCCCUGCUGAGCCUUUUCUUCUCCAGGCUGAACAAUCCCAGCUCUCUCAGCCUUUCCUUAUAUAAGAGAUGCUCCAGUCCCUUAAUCAUCUUAGUAGCCCUUUGCUGGACUUGCUCCAGUAGCUCCAUGUCUCUGUUGUACUGGGGAGCCCAGGCCUGGACUCAGUACUCCAGAUGUGACCUCACCAGUGCAAAGCAAAGGGGAAGGAUCACCUCCCUUGACCUGCUGGCAACACUCUUCCUGAUGCAGCCCAGGAGGCUGUUGACCUUCUUUGCUGCAAGGGUGUGUUGCUGGCUCAUGGUCAACUUGUUGUCCACCAGGACGCCCAGGUCCUUUUCUGCAAAGCUAGUUUCCAGUCAGUUGGUCCCCCUCCUGUCCUGGUGCAUGGGCUUAUUCUUCCCCAGGCACAGGAAUUCACAUUUUCCUUUGUUGAACUUCAUGAGAUUCUUGUCAAUACAUUUCUUCAGCAAUUUAUUCAAUUUGUUUAAUAAUUCUUUUUAAGCAAUUAGUAUAACUAUUAUCUGAAAGAUUUUGUUUUCCUGAACUGUGUUGCUUUUCAUAAUUAAAUCACGCAUGUAACAUAUAAUGACAGCAAUCUGUAUUUCUUAUUGCCAUAGCCAAAAGCACUAUUUUGCUCAAAGAGAAUCCUUCUCUACACAGAUAAGAUUUUUUUCCUUUGAACAGGACCCAUAUAUGCAUCCAUCUCCAUCCAAGCUUCUUGAAGUCACAUGCACUUAUUAAUUUCUUUUCACAAUACAAUUACUUAAAGCAGAAUUAACUUGUCCUCACUACUCCCUUUCAGAUCACAGGAGGAUGCUAAUAGGUGAUGGUUACAUACAAAUUCCAUCCCCAGAUAGCUUGGGAAGUGACUUCAGCUUUGGCAAACUCCUGGGAGUAAAGGGUCAGGAACUCCAUAUAUAUCUUGACUACCAUGGAUUGAAAUCCUGCUCCUACUAUGGAUGUUCAUGCCAACCCCUGCCAUGCUGUGGUCUGAACUUUGUUUAGAAUAUCGCUAGCAGUCCCCAGAUGCACCAUCACUCCUGAGAGCUCAAGUGGUAAGUCAACUGCCAAGGCUCUGGAUCACUGCCUCCCACCUCUCAGGACAACCUGAGAAGUUGCCUCUUUCAUAUUACAACUGUGUGACAAUUAAAGGGGGGCAACCACUUUAGCCCCAGUGCAAGAAGCUGGAGACUGAAGUUUAUUGACUUAACCUGUACUGCCAACACCAAAACCAGGUCCAAGGCCAACUUCAAAACUUAGCUGCCCACAUGAUUAAUUGAAGCCUCCUUGUCUGGACCUGUGUUGUUAACUAAUAUUGCAACUAUCAGUUCAUUUUGCAGAUAAGAAAUUAUAGGCCCAGAGAGAUAAGUGCCCAAAGCUCAUGUACUUGAAGAAUCUCACAGCUUGAAGCAGAACCCAGCUCUGAUACUUUGUAGAAUAGUGCCAUCACCAUUAGAACAUGUACCGUGACCUUCCUGGAAGUGGCACGUGAGCCUCCCUUUGAAUCAGCUUGACUUUGAGCUCACCCAUGAAACACCAGUGACUUUUGAAAGAAUAUAGGGAUGGCACCACCGAAAGAUUUUGCCUCAGUUGGCUGCAAAUAACGUUAUCUGAAAUAACUGCCAAAGCUGUAAUUUAUCAGACUUUUUCACAGCUUCCACAAAGGCAAGGAAAUUCAAAGUUGAAAGGCUUUCUCCAGGCAGCACAUGCCAGGCAUUUGUGCAUGAAUUGCAGGAGGGGAAAUGAUAUGUUUCUUUUAGAGCUGUUGUUGCCAUCAUGGAAAGUGAGCAAGCAUCUGUGCUUCGGAAAUAAGUGGAAGGAAGGUGUUCCGUGAAAGAAAGCAUGUGGGAAAGCGGCUUAAAAUGGUGAUAGUGUAUGAAAGUGGCAGGAGUUCUGAAUGCCAUUGGGGAGAAGAAACGGAACAAGGCUGACACAUAGAAAGGUGGUGAGAAAGCAAAAAGACAUGUAAAGUGGAGUGUAUUGAAGGAAAAAAGAGAAAUUUGGCUAGAGAAUAGGUCUGAGCAAAUUCCAAAAGUGAGAGAGAAACAAAGAAAAAUGGGAAAAUCAUAAGACAGAUGAAAAGUCUAUUGGAUGGUUGUGGAGGUGAAAGUGUAAGUUAAGGUUUUAGGUAUGUUUUGUUGAGAAAACAGAUAUAAAUCUGAAAAUGAGGUGUCCAAGAAGGACUCCUGAUACAGCAGUGGUCUGUACAUUUAUACUAACCAAAGUCUGUAAGAUGAUUGUACUCUCUAGCAUUUACCAUUGAUCCUGAAGAAAUAAUGAGAAGACUGAUCUUUCCUCAUGUUUAGUAAUACUUAAUUCAAGAGAACUGCUUACUUUAUAUCACUGCAAAUAAGGGUUACACAGCCAAUCUUAAGGUCCUUAAUUUCAUUCCAGGGCUUACUAUUUCCUGUGUUACUACUCUGUAAAGAUGACUCUAGAAUAACAAUUUAAUACUUGAGUGCCCAGAGUCAGGCAGACACUUUGCAUAAAAGUGUUCCCUUGUGCGCGCUGAGUGCCUGCAGCUCCCCCCGGGAAGUGGUGGGUGCUAAGCACCUCGGAAAAUCAGGUCACUGUCACUCAGAAGCUCAGAAAAGAACGGAGGUGCCAAAGUUUAAGAUUAAACUUACAAGUUGGUGGCAUCAUUCUAGAAUAGUGCUUCUCUGAAGGAUUGCCACAUUUUUUGUUGUUUAAAUUUUGGAAUGCAACAGGUACGCAUUUGUAAUUCAGGUGUAAUUAUAAAUCCCUCCAGAGAUAAUAUGAGGAUAUAAGAAAGAGGGAAUGAGAGACAGAAAAAGUGAGCAAGAUGGGGAGGAAUUAAAAAAGAAAGGGACAGAAAGAUAUAUUGUUCAAACCUUCUUUUAGACUAGCUUGGGCAUGCCUUAUUGGCUUUGAAUGCAAACAAUUAGUCAGCAAGCUUAAAAUAAACAUAAUGAAGUGUUUUCUUCCACAAAAUGCAUAAUGAAACUGUGGAACGCAUGUCCACAGGAUGUUUGGGGGAGCAAAAGUGUAAACAGAUUCAAAGAAGAACUUACUUACACAAAGGUCUGGAAAAUACAUCCAGUUUGGUUUAUUAAACAUGGUAGACUUGAUAGAACAUCUGGGUCGAGAAGUGUCUGAAGUGCAGUCAGCUGGAAUCUGGGAGGGCAUGCCACAGGAAAUACUUCUCUGUACUUGCUUGAUUUCUCAUUCUCUUCCCUUAAACAUUUCAUUCUGGCUGUUAUCACAGACAGGGGAUACUAUCUUAGAUGCUCCUUUCAUCUGGCCCAAUAUUCUUUUAUUCUAUUUUGCAUUAGUAGCUUAUGAUUUAUUUCCCUUCUAUAGCUUACUUUACUGUACUGGCCUAAAUCAAUUGUUCUUUCUCUUGUACAACAGGAAUAGCAAUGAUUGCCACAUUGUUAUUUUAAUCGUUUUAGACCAUGUAUUGAAGUGGCAACCAGGCAUUUCAAUUAUAGGGUUUAAAACAAGAACCGAUGAAGUGAGUCAAGGCUAGGUAAAGAUAAAUGUGUCUCCCAUUGUACGCUGAGGGUCACCAUUCUUUGUCUCCAGUACACCUUGACAAAGGGGCAAAUUCAAAAGCAGAGGGAAUCCUACUGAAAAACACCUUUUAUUGAACAGAAGGCUUUCCCUACAUUGGGGGAAAAUGUAUAGGCCAUAUAGUGUGGGUGAGUAUAGUGUAGAUAAAUGAUAUCUUAAUUUAUGCUGUUUUAAUUCCCCAAAGCCAUUUAGUUGGGGCUGUUUAAAAUGUAUUACUUUGUUCAGAUACAGAAUUACAAGGACGGAUUCAAAUGAUUUUGUUUAACUUGGGUUAUCUAACUCAUAUUUUAAAACCAUUUUCUUUAUCAUCUAGACUGACUUUCAUAUAUUCAGACCUGGUUCCCUGAAAGACGUUACUCUCCAGCUGAUCUUACGCAGUGAGUGGGCAGAGAGUGAGAGGAUCCUCUUAGAUAACCAUUUCCUUGAGCACUCAGAGCUUUGAAGUUCGUCAGUAAACAGAAAGCUAGUGCCAUGUCCCUGGUGCUGAGUGUUCCUGCUGUUCUGCACUGUUCAGGAAGUGGGUAGUAGGUUUUUCAGGAACUGGAUCUUUCACGCAGACUUCAAGGGGGAGUCAUAAAUAGAAAGGCACAGAAACCAAGGUGGUAAUAACAAAAGCACCAGUGACUUUUGCAAAGUUCACUGCAGAGGAAAAGUCCAGCUAGCCUUAGUGGAGAAUAUAUAGCUUCCCAUGUAAGUUCAAAAAUUGAAAAAGACAGAAGAAGGUGUACAGAUUUUCCCCCUCAAACUGAUCAUUAUUAGUAAAAAGAACAUUUAAUGUUCUAUCUAUGCUUUGGUUAUGCAUGUGAAUAGCAAGCAGCAAAAUAUAAAUAACACUUCAUAAAUUACAUAUAUUUAGUCCCUGAGAAAUAAGCAUUUUAAGUGAGAAAUGCUUACAUUUAUUUAAAUCCGUAGAAAAUUUAUAUGUUCUGUAUGUUUUCCUUUUUUCCUACUAAACUAGGAAAUUACUCAGUUGUAUCCCAUCCCAAUAAUUGUGGAGUGCUUUAGGGAGAGGUUUUUCAAUCUAUUUUUCACCUAAGAUCCAAAAUCCUAUUUUCUCUGCUGGACUCUCACAAAUCUCACCAUCUUCUAUGAUUUUAAAGGAUGCUAGGAUGGAACUCACUGAAAAAAAAAUCUACAUAAAAUCUAUAGAUUUGUGGGGAGGGGGGUAAAUAGAGGGCAUGUGAGUAAGCCUCUGUUCAGUUUGGCUAUCAUAUAUUGUUUGCUGCAUUUCACUCUUGUCAAGACCAUGAAUUGUUUAGACAAGGGAUCAUGUCCUUUGUCACAGUUUUGAAACGUGUCAGAAUGGAGCUUCCCACUGCUACUAGAAUGCAGCUAAACACGAAUAGCUAAUAGGUUGCUAAGUUGCAGAGGUGGGGCUAAGCAGCUGAGGUUUCACAGGGAAGUUAAUAAUGGAGUAGGUAUGGGGCAACUGGAGAAGCAGAAUGCUCAAAGGCUGGUAUUCUACUGCCUGAUGGAUCCCAUGUCAGCUUCGGUUGCCUAUGACCAGAACCAGCACAGUACUUGUCUUCCUCCUCGUCCUUCUGUAGAUUACUCAGCUCUAAAACACUGCUGUUCUAAAGGACCCUCCAAACCUCUCCAAAUUCACCCAUGGGGAAUCAUUGCCAGUCAGAGGAAGCAGCCUAAGAAGCUGUCUUACAAUUGAAAUUGGGUUGAGAGGCAAAAAAAUAGUCACUCUAGGAGGGAGGGGAGUUAUCAGCCGCACAUUCAUCUGUUUCUGUUCCUACUUGGUUUGCUAAAAUGGAGGGAUUUCAAUUGAUUUUGUUUUCUUUGCAGCACUAGCUGGUGAGAAUGGAGCUGCAUUCUGUGAGCAUGCAGCGCAGGAGGGGCACGCCCCAUUGCCUGAGCAGCACUGGGAAGAGCUAUCAGCAGCCCUGGCUUCUGAUCUGUGCUAUGCACUCACUAGGUACUAUAGCACUGUGUUUUGUGUGCAAGGUGAAAAUGAUAAUAUACACCAUACAAUGGACCUUUAUAUGUCUGCUUAUUUAUUUAUUUAUUUAUUAAAUACAAUUGAAACAGU